This 273-nucleotide long non-coding RNA is filed under the name Drosophila guanche. The record is from RNAcentral. Lineage: Eukaryota; Metazoa; Arthropoda; Insecta; Diptera; Drosophilidae.
CCACUAAAGUGCCGUAUCCUGUCUAUGUAUUUGAACUCGUUUCCCCUCUAUGUGUCCCAUAUCCUCCGCCCUGCUCGCACUCAGUGAAGCCUCUCUUUAUACUCCCUCGACGGUCCCAAUUAGGUAGGCUGCUCAUGUCCACGCAAAUUAAAAUAAAAUUUCUCUCCCAUUUUUGUACCCUUGCAAAGGGUAUUCUACAUUUUUGGCAAUUCCGGUAAGCAGGAAGCAGGAAGCAGGAAGCAGGAACCAGGUUUCAGGGUACUUUUAUCGGUG